This 447-nucleotide ribosomal RNA is filed under the name uncultured bacterium. RNAcentral's name for it is "partial 16S ribosomal RNA". It matches the Rfam family "Bacterial small subunit ribosomal RNA", at positions 338 to 795 of the family's 1533-position model. The record is from RNAcentral.
CCUACGGGUGGCAGCAGUAGGGAAUUUUCGGCAAUGGGGGGAACCCUGACCGAGCAACGCCGCGUGAACGAAGAAGUUAUUCGUAAUGUAAAGUUCUUUUAACAGGGAAGAAAGAGAAAUUUGACGGUACCUGAAGAAUAAGCUCCGGCUAACUACGUGCCAGCAGCCGCGGUAAUACGUAGGGAGCGAGCGUUAUCCGGAAUUAUUGGGUGUAAAGGGCGUGUAGGCGGGAGAGCAAGUCAGACGUGAAAUUCCAGGGCUCAACCCUGGAACUGCGUUUGAAACUGUUCUUCUUGAGUGAUGGAGAGGCAGGCGGAAUGCCGGGUGUAGCGGUGAAAUGCGUAGAUAUACGGAGGAACACCAGUGGCGAAGGCGGCCUGCUGGACAUUAACUGACGCUGAGGCGCGAAAGCGUGGGGAGCAAACAGGAUUAGAUACCCGAGUAGUC